RNAcentral lists this ribosomal RNA (219 nucleotides) under Triticum aestivum (bread wheat). RNAcentral describes it as "partial small subunit ribosomal RNA". Lineage: Eukaryota; Viridiplantae; Streptophyta; Magnoliopsida; Poales; Poaceae. The record is from RNAcentral.
UUGGGUCGUGUUAUAAAUGCUCUGGCUAAACCUAUUGAUGGGAGAGGCGAAAUUGUAGCUUCCGAAUCUCGCUUAAUUGAAUCUCCUGCUCCAAGUAGAAUUUCCAGGCGUUCCGUAUACGAACCUCUUCAAACAGGGCUUAUUGCUAUCGAUUCGAUGAUCCCUAUAGGGCGCGGUCAGCCACCCGCGCCGAUCUCAUCGCCGGCACCACCGUGGUGA